This 1154-nucleotide long non-coding RNA is filed under the name Phoenix dactylifera (date palm). RNAcentral's name for it is "long non-coding RNA (PDAC_LNC006595)". The record is from RNAcentral. Lineage: Eukaryota; Viridiplantae; Streptophyta; Magnoliopsida; Arecales; Arecaceae.
UUGAGGGUAUAAAAAAUUUGUAUUUACUGUUGGAUGGAUAUGACUUAAUCUAUAGGGUAAGAACUUUUAGGGUUUAAUUGGAAGAUGUCCGAGGAAUAAAGUGUGUUUAACAUGUAUUGAAUUUCAUGAUAAUUUGAUUUUUAUUUCAAAAAUGAAAUUGUCCUUUCACUUUUUUAUGUAUUUAGAGAGUGGAUAGGGGUAAAAUAUAUCAAUUAGAAGAGAUAUCUUUCUCUUCUUCCACCGUAUGGUGGAAUAGAAUAGACUUAUAUUGUUGAGUCACACUUAUUUCUUCUUACAGUAUAUGUGAGAACUAGGCCAAAAUGGGCCUAUCUUGGAUCAAAGUUGGCAGGCCCAACCGACUGUCAUUUGAAAAUUCAAAAAAAAAGAGGAAGAAAAAAAUAGUCCCUUGCUAUUAUCUCUCCUUUUUCAGAUCAAACCAAAAGCUCCGAGUAAACUCAGGUCAAGUCUCUUUUCUUAUGUUGGUCGAUUCAGGCCGAAUAGGCCAUGCUCCUAACUGGACCUAAACUAACUGGAUUAGGCUAAAAAGACCAACUGGCCUUAUAUCGGGUAUCUCUCUUUUUCGUAUGUUGGUUGACCCAUUCCAAAUAGAUCAGGCCCUUAACUGAACUCAGACUAAGUCACUCUCUCCUUUCUAUAUCUGCUGGUUGACCCGGACCGAGCCUAAUUGCUUUUAGUUAGUCUAAUUUUCCUUAUUGGAUAAAUUAGAUCUAACCUACAAACUUUAAUUUGAUAAGGUGGAAAUCUAGAUCCGGAUAGCAAGGAGGCGUGAUCGAGACUGGUUCCAAUGCAUUCAGGUAAUCACGAACCCCACCUCCUGAUGAAAUUCAUGUGUUAGUGUUAAGUUAUAAUUAAUUGUUAAAUCCAAGGGGUGGUCGAGACUCCUAAACAUUAGGCUGGAUUCUAUAGUCUUGACAUAGACUGGAUCCUACCAAAGGAUGUUUCAAUUUAUAUUAUGCCUUUUAUAGAAGUCUAAUAAAACACUUGAUUACAUUAGGUUUUUGGAUGAUUUUCCUGAUUGGUGAAUUUCAAGAGAUUUUAGGGCGGAAAUAAUAAAUUACCUCUACCCCUAGCAUAUUUAAUCAUACAAACGAUCUGAUUUAUAUUAUUUCGAAAUUAAUCUAUUUCUAUUAUGU